GCGUCGAUUCACUUUUGAUGAGCUCGGAGAGCCACUAGCUAAGAAUGAAUCAGAUCGCGACCGGAUGUUGAAGCUAUCUUCUUAUGUGAGUGUUAGUUUGUUGUUUCCUUACUUUCUCCUCUUUAUUAUUUUUAGGUAGUGAUGAUUAUCUUGUCAUACAGGUCAUGACUGAGUACAACGACAGACUGUGAAAGGCUGAACGGUAUAAGGUGAAAUUGAAAGA
RNAcentral lists this long non-coding RNA (223 nucleotides) under Malus domestica (apple). Its description in RNAcentral is "long non-coding RNA (MDOM_LNC010885)". Lineage: Eukaryota; Viridiplantae; Streptophyta; Magnoliopsida; Rosales; Rosaceae. The record is from RNAcentral.